GGAUCAAUAUGCUGGUCGCGCCUUUGGUACGUACUGGUAUUAUUGGUUUCUCCUUUCUGACGAACCAUGAUGUCAUUAAUUUGGUGUCUUGGGGAAUCAGGACUGUUACUUUGAAAAAAUUAGAGUGUUUAAAGCAGGCUCACGCUUGAAUACAUUAGCAUGGAAUAACGAAAUAGGACGUUUGAUUCUAUUUUGUUGGUUUCUAGGAUCGACGUA
RNAcentral lists this ribosomal RNA (216 nucleotides) under Campeiostachys nutans. RNAcentral describes it as "Elymus nutans partial small subunit ribosomal RNA". The stretch from base 38 to 216 matches the Rfam family "Eukaryotic small subunit ribosomal RNA", at positions 684 to 864 of the family's 1831-position model. The record is from RNAcentral. Lineage: Eukaryota; Viridiplantae; Streptophyta; Magnoliopsida; Poales; Poaceae.